RNAcentral lists this transfer RNA (83 nucleotides) under Entomortierella beljakovae. RNAcentral's name for it is "tRNA-Leu". It matches the Rfam family "tRNA". From Rfam's summary of the family: Transfer RNA (tRNA) molecules are approximately 80 nucleotides in length. Their secondary structure includes four short double-helical elements and three loops (D, anti-codon, and T loops). The record is from RNAcentral. Lineage: Eukaryota; Fungi; Mortierellomycota; Mortierellomycetes; Mortierellales; Mortierellaceae. RNAcentral also lists the same sequence under 1 other name.
GGAGAGAUGGCCGAGUUGGUCUAAGGCGCCACGUUAAGGCCGUGGUCUAUUCGUAGGCGUGGGUUCAAAUCCCACUCUCUUCA